UGCCAGACUCCUACGGGAGGCAGCAGUGGGGAAUAUUGGGCAAUGGGGGAAACCCUGACCCAGCAACGCCGCGUGAGGGAAGAAGGUUUUCGGAUCGUAAACCUCUGUCCUUGGUGAAGAGAAGAAGACGGUAGCCAAGGAGGAGGCCCCGGCUAACUACGUGCCAGCAGCCGCGGUAAUACGUAGGGGGCAAGCGUUGUCCGGAAUGAUUGGGCGUAAAGGGCGCGUAGGCGGCCUGGUAAGUCUGGAGUGAAAGUCCUUCUUUUAAGGAGGGAAUUGCUUUGGAUACUGCUGGGCUUGAGUGCAGGAGAGGUAAGCGGAAUUCCCAGUGUAGCGGUGAAAUGCGUAGAGAUUGGGAGGAACACCAGUGGCGAAGGCGACUUACUGGCACAUAACUGACGCUGAGGAGCGAAAGCGUGGGUAGCAAACAGGAUUAGAUACCCCUGUAUAU
RNAcentral lists this ribosomal RNA (451 nucleotides) under uncultured bacterium. RNAcentral describes it as "bacterial SSU rRNA". It matches the Rfam family "Bacterial small subunit ribosomal RNA", at positions 329 to 794 of the family's 1533-position model. The record is from RNAcentral.